AUCCGGGGUGCGGACAGUGUCUGGUGGGUAGUUUGACUGGGGCGGUCUCCUCCUAAAGAGUAACGGAGGAGCACGAAGGUCAGCUAAUCACGGUCGGACAUCGUGAGGUUAGUGCAAUGGCAUAAGCUGGCUUGACUGCGAGAGUGACGGCUCGAGCAGGUGCGAAAGCAGGUCAUAGUGAUCCGGUGGUUCUGAAUGGAAGGGCCAUCGCUCAACGGAUAAAAGGUACUCCGGGGAUAACAGGCUGAUACCGCCCAAGAGUUCAUAUCGACGGCGGUGUUUGGCACCUCGAUGUCGGCUCAUCACAUCCUGGGGCUGAAGUAGGUCCCAAGGGUACGGCUGUUCGCCGUUUAAAGUGGUACGCGAGCUGGGUUUAGAACGUCGUGAGACAGUUCGGUCCCUAUCUGCCGUGGGCGCUGGAGAAUUGAGGGGGGUUGCUCCUAGUACGAGAGGACCGGAGUGAACGCACCACUGGUGUUCGGGUUGUCAUGCCAAUGGCAUUGCCCGGUAGCUAAGUGCGGAAAAGAUAAGUGCUGAAAGCAUCUAAGCACGAAACUUGCCCCGAGAUGAGUUCUCCCUGACUCCUUGAGAGUCCUGAAGGGACGUUGAAGACUACGACGUUGAUAGGCCGGGUGUGUAAGCGCAGCGAUGCGUUGAGCUAACCGGUACUAAUGACCCGUGAGGCUUAACCUU
This 693-nucleotide ribosomal RNA is filed under the name Pantoea agglomerans. Its description in RNAcentral is "partial 23S ribosomal RNA". It matches the Rfam family "Bacterial large subunit ribosomal RNA", at positions 2238 to 2925 of the family's 2925-position model. Lineage: Bacteria; Pseudomonadati; Pseudomonadota; Gammaproteobacteria; Enterobacterales; Erwiniaceae. The record is from RNAcentral.